GAUGAACGCUAGCGGGAGGCCUAACACAUGCAAGCCGAGCGGUAUUUGUUCUUCGGAACAGAGAGAGCGGCGCACGGGUGCGGAACACGUGUGCAACCUGCCUUUAUCUGGGGGAUAGCCUUUCGAAAGGAAGAUUAAUACCCCAUAAUAUAUUGAGUGGCAUCAUUUGAUAUUGAAAACUCCGGUGGAUAGAGAUGGGCACGCGCAAGAUUAGAUAGUUGGUGAGGUAACGGCUCACCAAGGCAAUGAUCUUUAGGGGGCCUGAGAGGGUGAUCCCCCACACUGGUACUGAGACACGGACCAGACUCCUACGGGAGGCAGCAGUGAGGAAUAUUGGACAAUGGGUUAGCGCCUGAUCCAGCCAUCCCGCGUGAAGGACGACGGCCCUAUGGGUUGUAAACUUCUUUUGUAUAGGGAUAAACCUACUCUCGUGAGAGUAGCUGAAGGUACUAUACGAAUAAGCACCGGCUAACUCCGUG
RNAcentral lists this ribosomal RNA (479 nucleotides) under uncultured bacterium. Its description in RNAcentral is "partial 16S ribosomal RNA". It matches the Rfam family "Bacterial small subunit ribosomal RNA", at positions 28 to 507 of the family's 1533-position model. The record is from RNAcentral.